Molecule: ribosomal RNA, 356 nt
Filed under: uncultured alga
Lineage: Eukaryota
Description: bacterial LSU rRNA
Rfam family: Bacterial large subunit ribosomal RNA
Source: RNAcentral
GCUUGACUGUAUCUUGGAAUUGGGUUCGGGCUUUUCUUGCGCAGACUAGGUGGGAGCUAUGAAGAUUUUCUCGGAAAGUUGAGCCAACAGUGAGAGACCACUCUGAGAAGCUAGAAUCCUAAUGGUGAUCCUUGAAUCAGGACAUUUGACAGUUGCAGGUGGGCAGUUUUACUGGGGCGGAAGCCUCUAAAAGGUAACGGAGGCGCUGCAAAGGUCCCUCAGUCUGGACGGAAAUCAGACAUUGAGUGUAAAGGCAAAAGGGGGCUUGACUGCAAGACCACAAGUCGAGCAGGGGCGAAAGCGGCCUUAGUGAUCCGACGGUGCCGGUGGAAGGCCGUCGCUCAACGAAUAAAGUA